Molecule: ribosomal RNA, 853 nt
Filed under: uncultured Chloroflexota bacterium
Lineage: Bacteria; Bacillati; Chloroflexota
Description: bacterial SSU rRNA
Rfam family: Bacterial small subunit ribosomal RNA
Source: RNAcentral
GAUAAACGCUGGCGGCGUGCCUUAUGCAUGCAAGUCGAACGGUACUUUGUUCUUCGGAACAAAGGAGAGUGGCAAACGGGUGAGUAACACAUAAGUAACCUGCCCCCAAGUAGGGGAUAACUCUGAGAAAUCGGAGCUAAUACCGUAUGUGAUAAUGGAGGUAAUGCUCCAUUAUUAAAGUCUUAGGGUGCUUGGGGAGGGGCUUGUGUCCGAUUAGCUAGUUGGUAGGGUAACGGUUUACCAAGGCGAUGAUCGGUAGCUGGUUUAAGAGGACGGUCAGCCACACUGGGACUGAGACACGGCCCAGACUCCUACGGGAGGCAGCAGCAAGGAAUUUUGUGCAAUGGGCGAAAGCCUGACACAGCAACGUCGCGUGAGGGAUGAAGGCCUUCGGGUUGUAAACCCCUUUUCUCAGGGAAGAAUAAUGACGGUACCUGAGGAAUAAGUCUCGGCUAACUACGUGCCAGCAGCCGCGGUAAUACGUAGGAGGCGAGCGUUAUCCGGAUUUACUGGGCGUAAAGAGGGCGUAGGCGGCUUUUCAAGUCGGAUGUAAAAUCUCCCAGCUUAACUGGGAGGGAUCAUUCGAUACUGUUGGGCUAGAGGGCAGCAGAGGGAGGUGGAAUUCCCGGUGUAGUGGUGAAAUACGUAGAUAUCGGGAGGAACACUAGUGGCGAAGGCGGCUUUCUGGGCUGUUACUGACGCUGAGGCCCGAAAGCGUGGGGAGCGAACAGGAUUAGAUACCCUGGUAGUCCACGCUGUCAACGAUGGAUACUAGGUAUAGGGAGUAUCGACCCUCUCUGUGCCGAAGCUAACGCGUUAAGUAUCCCGCCUGGGGACUACGGCCGCAAGGCUA